UACGAAGGGGGCUAGCGUUGUUCGGAAUCACUGGGCGUAGAGGGCGCGUAGGCGGCCAUAUAAGUCGGGGGUGAAAGCCUGUGGCUCAACCACAGAAUUGCCUUCGAUACUGUAUGGCUCGAGACCGGAAGAGGUAAGUGGAACUGCGAGUGUAGAGGUGAAAUUCGUAGAUAUUCGCAAGAACACCAGUGGCGAAGGCGGCUUACUGGUCCGGUUCUGACGCUGAGGCGCGAAAGCGUGGGGAGCAAACAGG
Molecule: ribosomal RNA, 253 nt
Filed under: uncultured bacterium
Lineage: Bacteria
Description: partial 16S ribosomal RNA
Rfam family: Bacterial small subunit ribosomal RNA
Source: RNAcentral